UCCAGACUCCUACGGGAGGCAGCAGUGAGGAAUAUUGGUCAAUGGGCGCGAGCCUGAACCAGCCAAGUCGCGUGAGGGAUGACGGUCCUACGGAUUGUAAACCUCUUUUGCCGGGGAGCAAGCGUGCGUUCGUGAACGCGCGUCGAGAGUACCCGGAGAAAAAGCAUCGGCUAACUCCGUGCCAGCAGCCGCGGUAAUACGGAGGGUGCGAGCGUUAAUCGGAAUUACUGGGCGUAAAGCGCUCGUAGGCGGUAUGUCAAGUCAAGGGUGAAAUCCCCGCGCUCAACGUGGGAACUGCCUUUGAAACUGGCAAACUGGAGUGUGUGAGAGGAUAGUGGAAUUCCAGGUGUAGGAGUGAAAUCCGUAGAUAUCUGGAGGAACAUCAGUGGCGAAGGCGACUAUCUGGCACAUAACUGACGCUGAGGAGCGAAAGCGUGGGGAGCAAACAGGAUUAGAUACCCCAGUACUA
This 469-nucleotide ribosomal RNA is filed under the name uncultured bacterium. RNAcentral's name for it is "bacterial SSU rRNA". It matches the Rfam family "Bacterial small subunit ribosomal RNA", at positions 330 to 797 of the family's 1533-position model. The record is from RNAcentral.